AAUGUGUGCAGGAAGGAGGACACAUAGGUGCCAAUGAGUAAUUGGUUAAUUUUUUUGGUUAAUUUGUUUGUUACUUAGGGGUGUGGGAUAACGUGAUAGGUUUAGUAAAUUUGAAGGAGGUAACUAGUUCUAGCUAUAUAAUGUAAAUCUAAAACAAUGCUCUUUGGGAAUCAGCUCCGGACUGCAGUACAAUAACAAGCUGCAAAACAUUGUAUCCCCGGCACAACUGGGAUGUGUACGGGAGCUGGGAAGCCCCAGACAAGUGCAUCCUGGCUGGCCAUCUGGUGACAUUUGUAUAUUGGGGCUGGAGGAGCUGGAGCAUCUCAGGUCAACGAGGAGAUCAGCUGGGUGGAGCUGCAGCUGGACGAAGCCAGGACCACAUAUUGCAGGAUCCUCUCUGAGUCCAACAGGAAGCUCAACACCCAGGGCUCCCAGAUCGGGAACUGCGUCGAGAAAGUACAGCCCUACUACGAGGCCCGUCGCCUGGCCAAGGAGGCCCAGCAGGAGAUGUAGAAGAUGGCGCUGCUGUGCGAGCGGGCGGUCAGCAUGCACAAAGCCACUUGUGAGAAGGUCUUCGUGGUGGAGCAGGCCGUCAUGGCCGACAAGAACCGGCUGGACCCCACCUGGCAGGAGACGCUCAACCACGCCACCU
This is a long non-coding RNA of Chelonia mydas (Green sea turtle), 652 nucleotides long. RefSeq lists it as uncharacterized. NCBI's taxonomy places the organism in Eukaryota, Metazoa, Chordata, Testudines, Cheloniidae. The record is from RefSeq and is a predicted model, not a curated record. The transcript has 4 exons.